AGGGGGGGGGCGUGCUAAUACAUGCAAGUCGAGCGGACCGACGGGAGCUUGCUCCCUUAGGUCAGCGGCGGACGGGUGAGUAACACGUGGGUAACCUGCCUGUAAGACUGGGAUAACUCCGGGAAACCGGGGCUAAUACCGGAUGCUUGAUUGAACCGCAUGGUUCAAUCAUAAAAGGUGGCUUUUAGCUACCACUUACAGAUGGACCCGCGGCGCAUUAGCUAGUUGGUGAGGUAACGGCUCACCAAGGCGACGAUGCGUAGCCGACCUGAGAGGGUGAUCGGCCACACUGGGACUGAGACACGGCCCAGACUCCUACGGGAGGCAGCAGUAGGGAAUCUUCCGCAAUGGACGAAAGUCUGACGGAGCAACGCCGCGUGAGUGAUGAAGGUUUUCGGAUCGUAAAACUCUGUUGUUAGGGAAGAACAAGUACCGUUCGAAUAGGGCGGUACCUUGACGGUACCUAACCAGAAAGCCACGGCUAACUACGUGCCAGCAGCCGCGGUAAUACGUAGGUGGCAAGCGUUGUCCGGAAUUAUUGGGCGUAAAGCGCGCGCAGGCGGUUUCUUAAGUCUGAUGUGAAAGCCCCCGGCUCAACCGGGGAGGGUCAUUGGAAACUGGGGAACUUGAGUGCAGAAGAGGAGAGUGGAAUUCCACGUGUAGCGGUGAAAUGCGUAGAGAUGUGGAGGAACACCAGUGGCGAAGGCGACUCUCUGGUCUGUAACUGACGCUGAGGCGCGAAAGCGUGGGGAGCGAACAGGAUUAGAUACCCUGGUAGUCCACGCCGUAAACGAUGAGUGCUAAGUGUUAGAGGGUUUCCGCCCUUUAGUGCUGCAGCAAACGCAUUAAGCACUCCGCCUGGGGAGUACGGUCGCAAGACUGAAACUCAAAGGAAUUGACGGGGGCCCGCACAAGCGGUGGAACAUGUGGUUUAAUUCGAAGCAACGCGAAGAACCUUACCAGGUCUUGACAUCCUCUGACAACCCUAGAGAUAGGGCUU
This 1000-nucleotide ribosomal RNA is filed under the name Bacillus licheniformis. RNAcentral's name for it is "bacterial SSU rRNA". It matches the Rfam family "Bacterial small subunit ribosomal RNA", at positions 33 to 1014 of the family's 1533-position model. The record is from RNAcentral. Lineage: Bacteria; Bacillati; Bacillota; Bacilli; Caryophanales; Bacillaceae.